GCCCCGAAGCGGGGGUACCGCGCGCCUGUCCGGCGCCCGGUUGAGACACACCCUUCGAACCUGAUGCGGUUGAUACCGCCGUAGGGAAGCUUCGCGUGGCCACGG
Molecule: non-coding RNA, 105 nt
Filed under: Novilysobacter defluvii
Lineage: Bacteria; Pseudomonadati; Pseudomonadota; Gammaproteobacteria; Lysobacterales; Lysobacteraceae
Also listed under: 1 other name
Description: Lysobacter defluvii TPP sequence
Rfam family: TPP riboswitch aptamer (THI element)
About the family: Vitamin B(1) in its active form thiamin pyrophosphate (TPP) is an essential coenzyme that is synthesised by coupling of pyrimidine and thiazole moieties in bacteria.
Source: RNAcentral